UGGGGAAUAUUGCACAAUGGGCGCAAGCCUGAUGCAGCCAUGCCGCGUGUGUGAAGAAGGCCUUCGGGUUGUAAAGCACUUUCAGCGGGGAGGAAGGCGUUAAGGUAAAUAACCUUGGCGAUUGACGUUACCCGCAGAAGAAGCACCGGCUAACUCCGUGCAAGCAGCCGCGGUAAUACGGAGGGUGCAAGCGUUAAUCGGAAUUACUGGGCGUAAAGCGCACGCAGGCGGUCUGUCAAGUCGGAUGUGAAAUCCCCGGGCUCAACCUGGGAACUGCAUUCGAAACUGGCAGGCUAGAGUCUUGUAGAGGGGGGUAGAAUUCCAGGUGUAGCGGUGAAAUGCGUAGAGAUCUGGAGGAAUACCGGUGGCGAAGGCGGCCCCCUGGACAAAGACUGACGCUCAGGUGCGAAAGCGUGGGGAGCAAACAGG
Molecule: ribosomal RNA, 429 nt
Filed under: Chloroflexota bacterium
Lineage: Bacteria; Bacillati; Chloroflexota
Description: Chloroflexi bacterium partial 16S ribosomal RNA
Rfam family: Bacterial small subunit ribosomal RNA
Source: RNAcentral